AUUGAACGCUGGCGGCAGGCCUAACACAUGCAAGUCGAACGGUAACAGGAAGCAGCUUGCUGCUUCGCUGACGAGUGGCGGACGGGUGAGUAAUGUCUGGGAAGCUGCCUGAUGGAGGGGGAUAACUACUGGAAACGGUAGCUAAUACCGCAUAAUGUCGCAAGACCAAAGAGGGGGACCUUCGGGCCUCUUGCCAUCGGAUGUGCCCAGAUGGGAUUAGCUUGUUGGUGGGGUACGGCUCACCAAGGCGACGAUCCCUAGCUGGUCUGAGAGGAUGACCAGCCACACUGGAACUGAGACACGGUCCAGACUCCUACGGGAGGCAGCAGUGGGGAAUAUUGCACAAUGGGCGCAAGCCUGAUGCAGCCAUGCCGCGUGUAUGAAGAAGGCCUUCGGGUUGUAAAGUACUUUCAGCGGGGAGGAAGGGAGUAAAGUUAAUACCUUUGCUCAUUGACGUUACCCGCAGAAGAAGCACCGGCUAACUCCGUG
Molecule: ribosomal RNA, 489 nt
Filed under: uncultured bacterium
Lineage: Bacteria
Description: partial 16S ribosomal RNA
Rfam family: Bacterial small subunit ribosomal RNA
Source: RNAcentral